AAUCUCAUUGAUUGAAAGAACGGAACAACUUCUUCCAUCAGCUUCACCCCCUCCCACUCUUUCUUCAAACUCUCUACAGCAUCACCUCUUUCUUUCCUCCAUACGUAUGGAAGCCCAGUUUUCACGCCAUAUCCCAUGUGAUCACACACAACCUUAACACACAUUCCGGUCCAUAUAUCCUCCACAGUUUCCCACCUGAACUUUCCUUCUUUUGCCAGCCUGAAAGAUGGCAGCAAAGCAGGUCCCACCAACUCACGAUCAAAUGCUACGUUGAUUCCGCUCAGA
RNAcentral lists this long non-coding RNA (285 nucleotides) under Nicotiana tabacum (common tobacco). RNAcentral's name for it is "long non-coding RNA (NTAB_LNC002040)". The record is from RNAcentral. Lineage: Eukaryota; Viridiplantae; Streptophyta; Magnoliopsida; Solanales; Solanaceae.